UUUGCAAAAAGGCAAAUGAAGUAAGAAAAUUGUUUUAUUCUAAGUUUCAAAAUUUUCGUGGCAACUAUUACAUGUGAAAGGACUCAGUGUCAAAGGAUUUGAUUUUUUGAAAUUUUAUUCAUUUUCUUUUUUAAUUUUUAGAAUGGACAAAGAAGCACAGCUUUAGUUGCUUGCUUCUGAUUGGCCAAUGCUUGAAGUCAUGGAUCGAUGACAUGGCAUGUCCUGAUUGGUGCUCCUGGUUCAUGUCUCUCUCCCUUAUCUCCUCAAGUGCACAGCCGCAGCCAGCACCUCACGCCUCAUCUCUUCGCUGCCUCGCCGGAGUCGCCGCUCCUCGCCGUAGACGCCGCUCCUCGCGCCGCCAUAGGUACACUCGCUGCUCCUCGCCGGACAGCAGUGGCGCAGCCGCAAGCAUCGGCCGAAGCACCAAGCAGCAGCAAGCACGCGCAAGAACAGCCCCGGCCGCCCGCCGCUGCUGCUCCUCUUCCUCGGCCACGACAGCAACAGGUGGUCAAGCACGUGUGCAAGCAGCAUCAGUCCGGUGGUUUUGACGCAAGGCGUGAGGAGGCGGCUGCUCCGUGCAACACUGCAUCUCGCCGUCCUCCUCUCGAUCUGUGCCUUCCCUGAACGUCGGAGUCCUGUGCGCAGCUCACCAACGCGGCCAUUGCGGCACUACGGCGGCCACCAUGGGUGCAUGGGCGGGGCACACGCGAUGGGAGCAGCGCCGGCGACUGGAUUUGGCCACGAUUAAAUCUGGGACGGGAUCGAGCGUUGCAAUUUUUUUUUAUUCACUACUAAAUAUUAAUGUCUCGUACAACAAAAUCUCAUUGCAAUCCAUUCCUGCACCAACGCGUUGCAUAUUAUCUAGUAAAGCCAAUUUUGGGAUCA
This is a long non-coding RNA of Triticum aestivum (bread wheat), 885 nucleotides long. RefSeq lists it as uncharacterized. Lineage: Eukaryota; Viridiplantae; Streptophyta; Magnoliopsida; Poales; Poaceae. The record is from RefSeq and is a predicted model, not a curated record. The transcript is spliced from 2 exons.